Molecule: ribosomal RNA, 312 nt
Filed under: Triticum aestivum (bread wheat)
Lineage: Eukaryota; Viridiplantae; Streptophyta; Magnoliopsida; Poales; Poaceae
Description: partial small subunit ribosomal RNA
Source: RNAcentral
AUGUCCGGCCGCGGCAAGGGCGGGAAGGGUCUGGGCAAGGGCGGCGCCAAGCGCCACCGGAAGGUGCUGCGGGACAACAUCCAGGGCAUCACGAAGCCGGCUAUCCGGCGUCUGGCUCGCAGGGGCGGCGUGAAGCGCAUCUCGGGGCUCAUCUACGAGGAGACCCGCGGCGUGCUCAAGAUCUUCCUCGAGAACGUCAUCCGCGACGCCGUCACCUACACCGAGCACGCCCGCCGCAAGACCGUCACCGCCAUGGACGUCGUCUACGCGCUCAAGCGACAGGGCCGCACCCUCUACGGCUUCGGCGGCUGA